Long non-coding RNA from Triplophysa rosa, 276 nucleotides. RefSeq lists it as uncharacterized. The transcript is spliced from 3 exons. Lineage: Eukaryota; Metazoa; Chordata; Actinopteri; Cypriniformes; Nemacheilidae. The record is from RefSeq and is a predicted model, not a curated record.
GUUGAGAAGAAAGGGAGGAACAGAUACGGCCAUGCACAGAUUUCUCGCCACAGGACACUGUUUCUGAUCUCUCUUCUUCAGGAUUCACUCUCUAACCACAAGAACGGGUGUCAGACCCAACAGACAAACUUCAUACAGCACCACAAAGUUGGAACGAAUAAGGUUUCUUGGGAUACUGUAUCAAUAUUUGGUGAACUUACAGGACAGCACAGCAUUAUCAUCAGACCAUAUUUGAAGUUGCUGGAAUCACAGGACAGGAAGUGACAUCAAUGGAGC